Molecule: ribosomal RNA, 578 nt
Filed under: uncultured bacterium
Lineage: Bacteria
Description: bacterial SSU rRNA
Rfam family: Bacterial small subunit ribosomal RNA
Source: RNAcentral
ACGGGUGAGUAAUGUCUGGGGAUCUGCCCGAUAGAGGGGGAUAACCACUGGAAACGGUGGCUAAUACCGCAUAACGUCGCAAGACCAAAGAGGGGGACCUUCGGGCCUCUCACUAUCGGAUGAACCCAGAUGGGAUUAGCUAGUAGGCGGGGUAAUGGCCCACCUAGGCGACGAUCCCUAGCUGGUCUGAGAGGAUGACCAGCCACACUGGAACUGAGACACGGUCCAGACUCCUACGGGAGGCAGCAGUGGGGAAUAUUGCACAAUGGGCGCAAGCCUGAUGCAGCCAUGCCGCGUGUAUGAAGAAGGCCUUCGGGUUGUAAAGUACUUUCAGCGGGGAGGAAGGCGAUGGGGUUAAUAACCUUAUCGAUUGACGUUACCCGCAGAAGAAGCACCGGCUAACUCCGUGCCAGCAGCCGCGGUAAUACGGAGGGUGCAAGCGUUAAUCGGAAUUACUGGGCGUAAAGCGCACGCAGGCGGUCUGUUAAGUCAGAUGUGAAAUCCCCGGGCUUAACCUGGGAACUGCAUUUGAAACUGGCAGGCUUGAGUCUUGUAGAGGGGGGUAGAAUUCCAGGUGU